RNAcentral lists this ribosomal RNA (440 nucleotides) under uncultured bacterium. RNAcentral describes it as "partial 16S ribosomal RNA". It matches the Rfam family "Bacterial small subunit ribosomal RNA", at positions 338 to 795 of the family's 1533-position model. The record is from RNAcentral.
CCUACGGGCGGCAGCAGUGGGGGAUAUUGCACAAUGGGGGAAACCCUGAUGCAGCGACGCCGCGUGUGGGAAGACGGUCCUCUGGAUUGUAAACUACUGUUCCCAGGGACAAAGAUGAUGGUACCUGGGGUGGAAGCUCCGGCUAACUACGUGCCAGCAGCCGCGGUAAUACGCAGGGAGCGAGCGUUGUCGGGAAUUACGGGGUGUAAAGGGAGCGUAGGCGGGACUGUAAGUUGGGGGUAAAAUCUACCGGCUCAACCGGGAACCGCACUCGAAACUGCAGUUCUUGAGUGAAGGAGAGGCAGGCGGAAUUCCUAGUGUAGCGGUGAAAGGCGUAGAUAUUAGGAGGAACACCAGUGGCGAAGGCGGCCUGCUGGGCUUUAACUGACGCUGAGGCUCGAAAGUGUGGGGAGCAAACAGGAUUAGAUACCCUUGUAGUC